Molecule: non-coding RNA, 75 nt
Organism: Micromonospora carbonacea
Lineage: Bacteria; Bacillati; Actinomycetota; Actinomycetes; Micromonosporales; Micromonosporaceae
Rfam family: ASpks TB sRNA
Source: Rfam
CUUCAGGGAGCCCAGCCGCAGCGGCUCGGCGUCGCCGCGCCCCGCACCGUACGUGGCCAGCAGCGCCUGCGCCUC